Molecule: non-coding RNA, 28 nt
Filed under: Mus musculus (house mouse)
Lineage: Eukaryota; Metazoa; Chordata; Mammalia; Rodentia; Muridae
Source: RNAcentral
UUGCCUGCAGUAAUAGGUGAAGGAAAGU